Molecule: ribosomal RNA, 433 nt
Filed under: uncultured bacterium
Lineage: Bacteria
Description: partial 16S ribosomal RNA
Rfam family: Bacterial small subunit ribosomal RNA
Source: RNAcentral
AACGAACGCUGGCGGCAUGCCUAACACAUGCAAGUCGAACGAUCCCUUCGGGGCUAGUGGCGCAAGGGUGCGUAACGCGUGGGAACCUGCCCUUAGGUUCGGAAUAACUCAGAGAAAUUUGAGCUAAUACCGGAUAAUGUCUUCGGACCAAAGAUUUAUCGCCUUUGGAUGGGCCCGCGUUGGAUUAGCUAGUUGGUGGGGUAAAGGCCUACCAAGGCGACGAUCCAUAGCUGGUCUGAGAGGAUGAUCAGCCACACUGGGACUGAGACACGGCCCAGACUCCUACGGGAGGCAGCAGUGGGGAAUAUUGGACAAUGGGCGAAAGCCUGAUCCAGCAAUGCCGCGUGAGUGAUGAAGGCCUUAGGGUUGUAAAGCUCUUUUACCCGGGAUGAUAAUGACAGUACCGGGAGAAUAAGCCCCGGCUAACUCCGUG